This is a non-coding RNA of Ceratotherium simum simum (southern white rhinoceros), 161 nucleotides long. NCBI's taxonomy places the organism in Eukaryota, Metazoa, Chordata, Mammalia, Perissodactyla, Rhinocerotidae. The record is from RefSeq and is a predicted model, not a curated record.
CUACAACAUGAAUGAAGCUUGAGGACAUUGUGUCAAGUGAGAUAAGCCAGUCACAAAAGGACAAAAACUUCUAUGAUUCCACUCAUACGAGGUAAUCAGAGUAGUCAGAUUCAUAGAGACAGAAAGUAGAAUGGUGUAUGCUGGGGGCUGAUGGAGGAGAG